AGUGAGAAUGCCGGAAUGAGUAGCGAGAAUUAUGUGAGAAUCAUAAUGGCCGAAAAUCUAAGGUUUCCUGAGGAAGGUUCGUCCGCUCAGGGUAAGCCGGGAGCUAAGGCGAGGCGGAGACGCGUAGCCGAUGCACAUACGGUUGAAAUUCCGUAGCCACCGAAAGAUUUAAGUACAGGGACGCUUUAGAAGUGAUGUUGCCGGGCGAUGGUUGACCCGGUCGUAAGGGAUCGAAAAUGAGUAGAGAAGUCAUCAUGGAAAGAGACAAGAAAAGCUGUAUGAAUAUCUUAGGUGCCCGUACCGCAAACCGACACAGGUAGAUAGGAAGAAGAUUCUAAGGCCAACGGGAGAAGGGUUGUUAAGGAACUCGGCAAGUUGACCCCGUAACUUAGGGAUAAGGGGUGCUCAAGUGAUUGAGCCGCAGAGAAUAGGCCCAGGCGACUGUUUAGCAAAAACACAGGUCUCUGCUAAAUCGAAAGAUGACGUAUAGGGGCUGACACCUGCCCGGUGCCGGAAGGUUAAGAGGAGAUGUGAGAGCAUUGAAUUGAAGCCCCGGUAAACGGCGGCCGUAACUAUAACGGUCCUAAGGUAGCGAAAUUCCUUGUCAGGUAAGUUCUGACCCGCACGAAAGGUGUAACGAUCUGGGCACUGUCUCAACAACCCGCCCGGCGAAAUUGUAGUACCGGUGAAGAUGCCGGUUACCCGCGACUAGACGGAAAGACCCCAUGGAGCUUUACUGUAGCCUAAUAUUGGAUUUCGGUAUUUCACGUACAGGAUAGGUGGGAGACUGGGAAGCACAGGCGUCAGCUUGUGUGGAGUCGACCUUGGGAUACCACUCUUGGAGUGCUGGAAUUCUAACCUGCGGCUUUGAAGCAAGUCGGGGGACAUUGUUAGGUGGGCAGUUUGACUGGGGCGGUCGCCUCCUAAAGAGUAACGGAGGCGUUCAAAGGUUCGCUCAGCUUGAACGGAAAUCAAGCAAAAGAGUGCAAACGCAGAAGCGAGCCUAACUGCGAGACUGACGGGUCGAGCAGUAACGAAAGUUGGAGUUAGUGAUCCGGCGGUAUGUGAAUGGAAAUGCCGUCGCUCAACGGAUAAAAGCUACCCUGGGGAUAACAGGCUGAUCUCCCCCAAGAGUCCACAUCGACGGGGAGGUUUGGCACCUCGAUGUCGGCUCAUCGCAUCCUGGGGCUGAAUUCGGUCCCAAGGGUUUGGCUGUUCGCCAAUUAAAGCGGUACGCGAGCUGGGUUCAGAACGUCGUGAGACAGUUCGGUCCCUAUCUGUCGUGGGCGUAGGAUAUUUGCAAGGAGCUGUCCCUAGUACGAGAGGACCGGGAUGGACGCACCUCUGGUGCACCAGUUGUCACGCCAGUGGCACAGCUGGGCAGCUAUGUGCGGAACGGAUAAACGCUGAAGGCAUCUAAGCGUGAAGCCGCCCUUAAGAUAAGAUAUCCCUUCUGUUUACAGAGUAAGACCCCUUGAAGACUACAAGGUUGAUAGGCUCAAAGUGUAAGCACGGUGACGUGUUUAGCUAGCGAGUACUAAUCGGUCGAGGGCUUAACCU
RNAcentral lists this ribosomal RNA (1560 nucleotides) under human gut metagenome. RNAcentral describes it as "bacterial LSU rRNA". It matches the Rfam family "Bacterial large subunit ribosomal RNA", at positions 1287 to 2925 of the family's 2925-position model. The record is from RNAcentral.